This 161-nucleotide unclassified non-coding RNA is filed under the name uncultured Ramariopsis. RNAcentral's name for it is "sequence contains ITS1". The record is from RNAcentral. Lineage: Eukaryota; Fungi; Basidiomycota; Agaricomycetes; Agaricales; Clavariaceae.
UCGUAUCCAAAGGGAUGCUGCUGGCUUUCACAGGCCGUGCACUCCCGCCUUUACAUCCACCUGUGCACUUGCUGUAGACUAGGAUUAACUUCCGAGUCUAUGUUUUCAUAUACACUUAAAGUCAAUGAAUGUAUUUAGGCUUCGGCCAAAAAAAAGCAAUA